This is a non-coding RNA of Myotis davidii, 601 nucleotides long. The record is from the annotation of a RefSeq genome assembly. NCBI's taxonomy places the organism in Eukaryota, Metazoa, Chordata, Mammalia, Chiroptera, Vespertilionidae.
CAGCUGCGGGCUCAGAGGCUGAACCCGGGGCGUCUCCGCCAUGGCCUGGACCCCUCUCCUGCUCCCCCUGCUCACUCUCUGCACAGGCUCUGUGGCCUCCUAUGAGCUGACCCAGUCGGGCCCUUUGUCAGUGGCCCCGGGAGGGACUGCCAGCAUCACCUGCACUGGAGAUUUACUGGAUAAAAAAUACACUGACUGGUACCAGCAGAAGCCCAGCCAGGCCCCUGUGGCGGUCAUCUAUGAUGAUAGCAAGCGGCCCUCAGGGAUCCCGGACCGAUUCUCGGGCACUAGCUCUGGGAAGACAAACACCCUGACCAUCAGCGGGGUCCUGGCCGAGGACGAGGCAGACUACUACUGUCAGUCUAGUACCAGUGAUGACAAUCUCACAGUGACACAGGCAGAUGGGGAAGUGGGACAGAAACCCCGUCCCCGUCUGGGUCACACGCUCCGCCAGCCCCAGGAGAACUGUAGACAAAGCCAUGAGCAGGCCUGGCCCAGGUCUCAGAUCUCAGCUCCCCAGGCUGCCCCUCCUCCCGCCUCAGGCCACUCUGCAGGGGGUGGCACAGAGCAGGUUCACUCUGACACGAGGCGGCUUCCCUGA